Molecule: transfer RNA, 76 nt
Filed under: candidate division WWE3 bacterium RIFCSPHIGHO2_01_FULL_38_45
Lineage: Bacteria; candidate division WWE3
Also listed under: 7 other names
Description: tRNA-Gly
Rfam family: tRNA
About the family: Transfer RNA (tRNA) molecules are approximately 80 nucleotides in length.
Source: RNAcentral
GCGGCGGUAGUUCAGUUGGUAGAAUGUCUCCCUUCCAAGGAGAAGGUCGCCGGUUCAAAUCCGGUCCGCCGCUCCA